AUUGAACGCUGGCGGCAUGCCUUACACAUGCAAGUCGAACGGCAGCACGGGAGCAAUCCUGGUGGCGAGUGGCGAACGGGUGAGUAAAGUAUCGGAACGUGCCCAGUCGUGGGGGAUAACGUAGCGAAAGUUACGCUAAUACCGCAUACGAUCUAUGGAUGAAAGCGGGGGAUCGCAAGACCUCGCGCGAUUGGAGCGGCCGAUAUCAGAUUAGGUAGUUGGUGGGGUAAAGGCUCACCAAGCCGACGAUCUGUAGCUGGUCUGAGAGGACGACAAGCCACACUGAGACGGAGACACGGCCCAGACGCCUACGGGAGGCAGCAGUGGGGAAUUUUGGACAAUGGGCGAAAGCCUGAUCCAGCCAUGCCGCGUGCAGGAUGAAGGCCUUCGGGUUGUAAACUGCUUUUGUACGGAACGAAAAGGUUUGGCCUAAUAAGCUGAGCUCAUGACGGUACCGUAAGAAUAAGCACCGGCUAACUACGUGCCAGCCGCCGCCGUAA
RNAcentral lists this ribosomal RNA (500 nucleotides) under uncultured bacterium. Its description in RNAcentral is "partial 16S ribosomal RNA". It matches the Rfam family "Bacterial small subunit ribosomal RNA", at positions 30 to 523 of the family's 1533-position model. The record is from RNAcentral.